GGGCGCUCGCAGGUCACGGAGCACCGGGAGCGGUUCGGUGCAAAGGAGCUCCGGGGACAGCGGCACAGUGGGGAAUGAGCACCACCGUAUAGACCUGACCACGUCCAGGCUUUCGUUAAACGCUUCCAGGGGCGGCGACUCCACCACUUCCCUGAGCAGGACGGUCUAAUGUCUUAAUCAGUUUUUCUGAGGAGAAAGUCCUCCCAAUAUCCAGUCUAAACCUCCCCUGGCGCAGCUUAAGACUCUGAUUGCUCCAACAACAAAAGUACCAGGACAGCAAAGUCAUGCUGGCCAUUACCUCCCCUGGGCAGCCAGCCCAUCCGCAAAAUUUGGAUUCCAGCGCCAGAAAUUAGUAGGUCUAAAGACUGCUUUUGCUCAACAGUGUAAGGUGGUCAGACAGCAGCGAAUGUCAGAGAGCAGAUGUGCCUUCAGCAGCCCCACAGAGACCUCAGCACAGUCCAAGAACAUGCCAGACUAGCACAGAACCUCACCUUUCAAUACUCCUGUUGCUACAACACAUCACAUCACUCUGAUGAAGGUAAGCUUGUGCUCAAGCACUGCACUGAAUCACCACUUGGCACUGUGAGGAAGAGCCCUCUUCAUCUCAAAUGUACCAUUUGUAUUAAUGCCCUUCUUUCCACCAUGACACACCAAGCACAGGGCUGCUGUGAGCAGCAGCAUCACACUCUGCUGUGUUUGGAGAGUAACUUACAAAGCUAUCACAACCCUGCAGUACUUUUCUGUCAGUGGUGCCCAGCAUCAUCCUGAGGGCCUCUCUGCUCCUCUCUGGAGUAAAUACACAGAAAGAUUGUCCAAAGUCCAAAGGUUUGAGGCUAGGAAGUGGUUACUCAGUGUUCAAAAACAGGGCAUUGCCUCUCAAUUUAAACAUAUGCCUAUACAGCAUUCUCAAACAACAGAAGCACUUUGGGGAGCAGAAAUAUUUGUUAACCUUAGGAGGUUGAGCCUGGGAAGUUACAACAGUAAAAAAUCAACCACAGCUGGGAGAUAUAAACUCCAGAUGUCAGGCAGGCUCCACAGGGACCAUCUGCAUGUAGCAUUCAAGGGAAAGGGAUUUUAUGUCACUGCUGAACCAUAGAUAAGGAUGGUGUACCUGAUUUCCUGAUUUCCUCCAACCUGACGUGUGAAAAACAUUUCCUGCUUCUGUUGGUUGAUGUGUUCUGGGGGAGUGUUCCAGGGGCCUGCACAAUCCCUUUGCAGGUUAUCCUUCUUGAGUCCCAAAAUACCACUCAAACCUACUCCAACUAGCUCUGUGAAGUAAAAAAUUAGCCAUUUCUUCAGAUCUAAGAAAGAUUUCUUCAGAUGUAAGAAAGAUGAACUUUCUUACAUCUUCUUGCUCAGCUCUGCAGUAGUGGGGAAGUUGUUCCAAGGCAGAAAGCCACACUGGAAGCAGCCAAGGGUGAGGAAAGCACAGAGCCUGCACAAAUCCCCAGGUGGCCAACAUGGCCCAAAACCAAGAGAGCUGGGGCCCAGGGCUGAGCAGGUUUUCUCUGAAGGAAACAAAGGCUUUGGCAAGUUUGUGGUUGUUACUUCAGGAGGCAGAAAGACCUCCAGGAAAUGAACCAUCUACAGAUCAGCAUUAAAGUCAGAUUAUUUUCUGCAUUUCAGAAUAUUCACCUCAAGCUGGUGCAAAGCCAGGGCCAUCCACCCCCUUCUCUGCAACACAACACUGCUUAGUCAAUGUUCUCAGACUCAGUUCACCUACCUGUCAGCUGCCUGAGUUUCAAAAACUCUUGAUUGAAAAGACCUUCUGAGAAAGUGGAGAGGCCUUGGGCAGCCACAAUGUCUGACUCCAAGCACUAAGACGUACAAAGCUCCAAUGCUGUGAGCCAGUAGACUGACACCAAAACAAUCUUUGCUACAGUUUAUUAACCAGAACAGCCUGAUACAUAAAUUUGUGUUUGGUAUUAUAUUCCUGUCAGAUUUGUCAAACAGAAGUUAUUUAUGGUGUAUAGGGAACAAACAACUUUUAAAUGGUAAUUAGAAAUUUUAAAUGGUAAUUAGAAGAUACCUCAAGCCAUAAACAAAUAAAACUCCAUUUAGAGUGGAGGACAGCCUUGUGUUCUCAUGGACCCCAUGUCCCAGGGAUGUGCUCUCAGCUCUGCUGAGCUCCCUGACCUCCACCUGACCAAGUCACAAAGUGUAAGGGAAC
This is a non-coding RNA of Cyanistes caeruleus (blue tit), 2170 nucleotides long. NCBI's taxonomy places the organism in Eukaryota, Metazoa, Chordata, Aves, Passeriformes, Paridae. The record is from RefSeq and is a predicted model, not a curated record.